RNAcentral lists this ribosomal RNA (490 nucleotides) under uncultured bacterium. RNAcentral's name for it is "partial 16S ribosomal RNA". It matches the Rfam family "Bacterial small subunit ribosomal RNA", at positions 28 to 507 of the family's 1533-position model. The record is from RNAcentral.
GUUGAACGCUGGCGGCAGGCCUAACACAUGCAAGUCGAACGGUAACAGGAAGCAGCUUGCUGCUUUGCUGACGAGUGGCGGACGGGUGAGUAAUGUCUGGGAAACUGCCUGAUGGAGGGGGAUAACUACUGGAAACGGUAGCUAAUACCGCAUAACGUCGCAAGACCAAAGAGGGGGACCUUCGGGCCUCUUGCCAUCGGAUGUGCCCAGAUGGGAUUAGCUAGUAGGUGGGGUAACGGCUCACCUAGGCGACGAUCCCUAGCUGGUCUGAGAGGAUGACCAGCCACACGGGAACUGAGACACGGUCCAGACUCCUACGGGAGGAAGCAGUGGGGACUAUUGCACAAUGGGCGCAAGCCUGAUGCAGCCAUGCCGCGUGUAUGAAGAAGGACUUCGGGUUGUAAAGUACUUUCAGCGGGGAGGAAGGGAGUAAAGUUAAUACCUUAGCUCAUUGACGUUACCCGCAGAAGAAGCACCGGCUAACUCCGUG